CGUAGGGAGCAAGCGUUGUUCGGAUUUACUGGGCGUAAAGGGCGCGUAGGCGGCAAAUCAAGUCAGCUGUGAAAUCUCCGAGCUUAACUCGGAACGGUCAGCUGAUACUGCUUUGCUAGAGUGCGGAAGGGGCAAUCGGAAUUCUUGGUGUAGCGGUGAAAUGCGUAGAUAUCAAGAGGAACACCUGAGGUGAAGACGGGUUGCUGGGCCGACACUGACGCUGAGGCGCGAAAGCCAGGGGAGCAAACGGGAUUAGGUACCCCGGUAGUCCUGGCCUUAAACGAUGAAUACUUGGUGUCUGGAGUCUCUAUAGCUCCGGGUGCCGUCGCUAACGUUUUAGUAUUCCGCCUGGGGAGUACGCACGCAAGUGUG
This 372-nucleotide ribosomal RNA is filed under the name uncultured organism. RNAcentral describes it as "bacterial SSU rRNA". It matches the Rfam family "Bacterial small subunit ribosomal RNA", at positions 526 to 896 of the family's 1533-position model. The record is from RNAcentral.